AUGAACGCUGGCGGCGUGCCUAAUCCCUGCAAGUCGCGCGAACAGACGAGGAGCUUGCUCCUCUGACGUUAGCGGCGGCCGGGUGAGUAACACGUGGAUAACCUACCUAUAAGACUGGGAUAACUUCGGGAAACCGGAGCUAAUACCGGAUAAUAUAUUGAACCGCAUGGUUCAAUAGUGAAAGACGGUUUUGCUGUCACUUAUAGAUGGAUCCGCGCCGCAUUAGCUAGUUGGUAAGGUAACGGCUUACCAAGGCAACGAUGCGUAGCCGACCUGAGAGGGUGAUCGGCCACACUGGAACUGAGACACGGUCCAGACUCCUACGGGAGGCAGCAGUAGGGAAUCUUCCGCAAUGGGCGAAAGCCUGACGGAGCAACGCCGCGUGAGUGAUGAAGGUCUUCGGAUCGUAAAACUCUGUUAUUAGGGAAGAACAAAUGUGUAAGUAACUAUGCACGUCUUGACGGUACCUAAUCAGAAAGCCACGGCUAACUACGUG
This 496-nucleotide ribosomal RNA is filed under the name uncultured bacterium. Its description in RNAcentral is "partial 16S ribosomal RNA". It matches the Rfam family "Bacterial small subunit ribosomal RNA", at positions 29 to 507 of the family's 1533-position model. The record is from RNAcentral.